ACUCUCGGCAACGGAUAUCUCGGCUCACGCAUCGAUGAAGAACGUAGCAAAAUGCGAUACUUGGUGUGAAUUGCAGAAUCCCGUGAACCAUCGAGUUUUUGGACGCAAGUUGCGCCCAAAGCCUUUUGGUUGAGGGCACGUCUGCCUGGGCGUCACACAUCACGUCGC
RNAcentral lists this ribosomal RNA (168 nucleotides) under Munnozia pinnulosa. RNAcentral describes it as "5.8S ribosomal RNA". It matches the Rfam family "5.8S ribosomal RNA". From Rfam's summary of the family: 5.8S ribosomal RNA (5.8S rRNA) is a component of the large subunit of the eukaryotic ribosome. Lineage: Eukaryota; Viridiplantae; Streptophyta; Magnoliopsida; Asterales; Asteraceae. The record is from RNAcentral.